GAUGAACGCUAGCUUCAGGCUUAACACAUGCAAGUCGCGGGGCAGCAUGAAUUUAGCUUGCUAAAUUUGAUGGCGACCGGCGCACGGGUGAGUAACGCGUAUCCAACCUUCCCAUAUCCACGGGAUAGCCUGCCGAAAGGCAGAUUAAUACCGUAUGUCGUCAUCAGUUGGCAUCAAAUUUUGACGAAAGGUUUAGCGGAUAUGGAUGGGGAUGCGUCCGAUUAGGUAGUCGGCGGGGUAACGGCCCACCGAGCCGACGAUCGGUAGGGGUUCUGAGAGGAAGGUCCCCCCACAUUGGGACUGAGACACGGCCCAGACUCUACGGGAGGCAGCAGUGGGGAAUCUUCCGCAAUGGGCGAAAGCCUGACGAGCAACGCCGCGUGAGUGAAGAAGG
This 394-nucleotide ribosomal RNA is filed under the name uncultured bacterium. RNAcentral's name for it is "bacterial SSU rRNA". It matches the Rfam family "Bacterial small subunit ribosomal RNA", at positions 28 to 414 of the family's 1533-position model. The record is from RNAcentral.